CUAGGCCUAAAUACGAACCUAGGCAAAACGUUGCCUGUGUAACUGAUGCCGUAUCAACCAGGGUUUCAACAUAUCUUGAAACAAUAAACGUGUUUAAUUCCUUCCAGAAACGAUCGAAAUUUACGCCUUUCCUAAAUUAAUUAAGUAGGUGGUGGUGCGUAGGCGUUGGCGGUGAUCGAUUGUGGAUUUCGGAAAAAUUUAUUUUCCGCCCUACUUGAAAUCGACGGCAAUGGAUUAUAUGAUGAAGCUGUAGUAAAGCUCUCCAGUGGGGCUGAUCUGUGAAGUAUGCACUGAAGCUGGAACCUUAGCCUUUUGUCAGGAGAAAGAUUAUGUUAUUGAGAAAGAUGGCCUGAAAACUGUUUCUUUUUCUUUUUAUUAUGUUUUGUCCAAGGAAAGGAGAAAGGUGCAGAAUGUCAUCCAUGACUUCAGCAAUGUGGUAUUAUGACAAGAUAUAAAUAGUAACAUGAAAGAUUCUGCCCUAAAGGGUUUACAUACUUCAAGUGAAAAACUCUCUAAGCAUUUGCAUGUAAAUUUUUAACACCUGUAAGUACUGUCAGGUUUUCCCUUCGUACUCAGUUGAACGUGUAUAGAGGUCUUUGCAUAUAGUAUGCUUGAACAUUAAAUGUUCUAAUUUGU
This is a long non-coding RNA of Macrobrachium nipponense, 636 nucleotides long. RefSeq lists it as uncharacterized. The transcript has 3 exons. NCBI's taxonomy places the organism in Eukaryota, Metazoa, Arthropoda, Malacostraca, Decapoda, Palaemonidae. The record is from RefSeq and is a predicted model, not a curated record.